UUCCGGAGCUAACGCGUUAAGUCGACCGCCUGGGGAGUACGGCCGCAAGGUUAAAACUCAAAUGAAUUGACGGGGGCCCGCACAAGCGGUGGAGCAUGUGGUUUAAUUCGAUGCAACGCGAAGAACCUUACCUGGUCUUGACAUCCACGGAAGUUUUCAGAGAUGAGAAUGUGCCUUCGGGAACCGUGAGACAGGUGCUGCAUGGCUGUCGUCAGCUCGUGUUGUGAAAUGUUGGGUUAAGUCCCGCAACGAGCGCAACCCUUAUCCUUUGUUGCCAGCGGUCCGGCCGGGAACUCAAAGGAGACUGCCAGUGAUAAACUGGAGGAAGGUGGGGAUGACGUCAAGUCAUCAUGGCCCUUACGACCAGGGCUACACACGUGCUACAAUGGCGCAUACAAAGAGAAGCGACCUCGCGAGAGCAAGCGGACCUCAUAAAGUGCGUCGUAGUCCGGAUUGGAGUCUGCAACUCGACUCCAUGAAGUCGGAAUCGCUAGUAAUCGUGGAUCAGAAUGCCACGGUGAAUACGUUCCCGGGCCUUGUACACACCGCCCGUCACACCAUGGGAGUGGGUUGCAAAAGAAGUAGGUAGCUUAACCUUCGGGAGGGCGCUUACCACUUUGUGAUUCAUGACUGGGGUGAAGUCGUAACAAGGUAACCGUAGGGGAACCUGCGGUUGGAUCACCUCCUU
RNAcentral lists this ribosomal RNA (688 nucleotides) under Escherichia coli. Its description in RNAcentral is "bacterial SSU rRNA". It matches the Rfam family "Bacterial small subunit ribosomal RNA", at positions 844 to 1532 of the family's 1533-position model. Lineage: Bacteria; Pseudomonadati; Pseudomonadota; Gammaproteobacteria; Enterobacterales; Enterobacteriaceae. The record is from RNAcentral.